AACCCGUGUUGUGGACACUUCCGCAAGAAGUCCUUGAAUUGUUCCCAGGUCUCAAACAAGGAUUCAAGCUUGAUCUGAAUAAAUGAAGAUAUCUCAUUACGAAGCU
Small nucleolar RNA from Dioscorea cayenensis subsp. rotundata (Guinea yam), 106 nucleotides. NCBI's taxonomy places the organism in Eukaryota, Viridiplantae, Streptophyta, Magnoliopsida, Dioscoreales, Dioscoreaceae. The record is from RefSeq and is a predicted model, not a curated record.